This 430-nucleotide ribosomal RNA is filed under the name uncultured bacterium. RNAcentral describes it as "bacterial SSU rRNA". It matches the Rfam family "Bacterial small subunit ribosomal RNA", at positions 29 to 507 of the family's 1533-position model. The record is from RNAcentral.
AACGAACGCUGGCGGCAGGCCUAACACAUGCAAGUCGAGCGCCCCGCAAGGGGAGCGGCGGACGGGUGAGUAACGCGUGGGAACGUGCCCUCUUCUACGGAAUAGCCUCGGGAAACUGGGAGUAAUACCGUAUACGCCCUUAGGGGGAAAGAUUUAUCGGAGGAGGAUCGGCCCGCGUUGGAUUAGGUAGUUGGUGGGGUAAUGGCCUACCAAGCCGACGAUCCAUAGCUGGUUUGAGAGGAUGAUCAGCCACACUGGGACUGAGACACGGCCCAGACUCCUACGGGAGGCAGCAGUGGGGAAUCUUAGACAAUGGGCGCAAGCCUGAUCUAGCCAUGCCGCGUGAGCGAUGAAGGCCUUAGGGUUGUAAAGCUCUUUCAGUGGGGAAGAUAAUGACUGUACCCACAGAAGAAGCCCGGCUAACUCCGUG